AAAUUGAAGAGUUUGAUCAUGGCUCAGAUUGAACGCUGGCGGCAGGCCUAACACAUGCAAGUCGAACGGUAACAGAAAGCAGCUUGCUGUUUCGCUGACGAGUGGCGGACGGGUGAGUAAUGUCUGGGAAACUGCC
RNAcentral lists this ribosomal RNA (136 nucleotides) under Escherichia coli. RNAcentral's name for it is "partial 16S ribosomal RNA". It matches the Rfam family "Bacterial small subunit ribosomal RNA", at positions 1 to 130 of the family's 1533-position model. The record is from RNAcentral. Lineage: Bacteria; Pseudomonadati; Pseudomonadota; Gammaproteobacteria; Enterobacterales; Enterobacteriaceae.